RNAcentral lists this long non-coding RNA (280 nucleotides) under Medicago truncatula (barrel medic). Its description in RNAcentral is "long non-coding RNA (MTRU_LNC003045)". The record is from RNAcentral. Lineage: Eukaryota; Viridiplantae; Streptophyta; Magnoliopsida; Fabales; Fabaceae.
GGAGUACGGAGUGGACAGCGGCGAUGGAGCCACGGAGAUAACCGGAGUCGAGGGUCAUUGCUAUGUGGACUAAAGAAGGGUCACAUGAUGAAGGGAAUAAGGUUUUGGAUUUUUGUUUCGGACAACCUGCUCCGUUUCGAUACUCGGGUGCCUCAGAGAAAGCACCCGAGAAACGAAACGGAGUAGGUGAGUGCUCUGCGGUGUUGGUUGUUGGGAAAGAACGGAUUCCAAGGCAGAAUGGUUGGAAGAUUGAACAAAGAAGAAUGAGAGAUGAAACAAC